This is a non-coding RNA of Pelobates cultripes (western spadefoot toad), 831 nucleotides long. The record is from the annotation of a GenBank genome assembly. Lineage: Eukaryota; Metazoa; Chordata; Amphibia; Anura; Pelobatidae.
GUCACUUCCUCCCACCGGAGAUAGCCGCGCGGGAGGAGGGAGGAGGGGAGUUCCAGAGGAGAACUCCCAUCUGCCUCAGCCUGCCACUGGACCAGGGAAACCACCCUCCAGAAAAAGGUAAGAACCUGGAGGGUGGCUAAAUGUAUGUCAGUAGGUCUGUGUGUGUGUGUGUAUGUCUGUGUGUAUGCCAGUAUGUCUGUGUGUGUGUGUGUCAGUAUGUCUGUGUGUAUGCCAGUAUGUCUGUGUGUGUGUGUGUCAGGAUGUCUGUGUGUAUGCCAGUAUGUCUCUGUGUGUGUGUCAGUAUGUCUGUGUGUAUGCCAGUAUGUCUGUGUGUGUGUGUCAGUAUGUCUGUGUGUAUGCCAGUAUGUCUGUGUGUGUGUGUGUGUGUGUGUGUGUGUGUGUGUGUGUGUGUGUGUGUGUGUGUGUGUGUGUGUGUGUGUGUGUGUGUGUGUGUGUGUGUGUGUGUGUCAGUAUGUCUGUGUGUAUGCCAGUAUGUCAGUGUGUGUGUAUGUAGGUAUGUCUCUGUGUGUGUGUGUACGUGUGUGUCAGUAUGUCUGCCAGGAUAUAUUUGUGUGUCAGUGUAUGUGUGUGUCAGUAUGUAUCUGUGAAUGUUUUAAUGUCUGUCUGUGUGUAUGUGCCAGUACGCCUGUCUGUGUGUAUGUCAGUAUGUCUGUGUGUGUGUGUCAGCAUGUCUUUGUGUGUCAGUAUGUCUGUGUGUGUAUGUAAGUAUGUCUGUGUGUGUAUGUGUGUGUCAGUCAGUAUGUCUGUCAGUGUAUGUGUCUGUGUGUGUGUGUGUGUCAGUAUGUCUGCCAGGAUAUAUUUGUAUGUCAG